GACGAACGCUGGCGGCGUGCCUAAUACAUGCAAGUCGAGCGAAUGACGAGAAGCUUGCUUCUCUGAUUUAGCGGCGGACGGGUGAGUAACACGUGGGCAACCUGCCCUACAGAUCGGGAUACCUCAGGGAAACCUGGGCUAAUACCGGAUAAUCCUUCGAAUCACAUGUUUUGAAGUUGAAAGGCGCUGCGGCGUCACUGUAGGAUGUGCCCGCGGUGCAUUAGCUAGUUGGUGGGGUAACGGCCUACCAAGGCAACGAUGCAUAGCCGACCUGAGAGGGUGAUCGGCCACAUUGGGACUGAGACACGGCCCAAACUCCUACGGGAGGCAGCAGUAGGGAAUCUUCCACAAUGGACGAAAGUCUGAUGGAGCAACGCCGCGUGAGUGAUGAAGGUUUUCGGAUCGUAAAACUCUGUUGUAAGGGAAGAACAAGUACGUUAGGAAAUGAACGUACCUUGACGGUACCUUAUUAGAAAGCCACGGCUAACUACGUGCCAGCCGCCGCCGUAA
Molecule: ribosomal RNA, 510 nt
Filed under: uncultured bacterium
Lineage: Bacteria
Description: partial 16S ribosomal RNA
Rfam family: Bacterial small subunit ribosomal RNA
Source: RNAcentral